CAUUUUCUUCGAGGGAGGGACUUCGGGUCCCGACCGGCGGUGAUAGUCCGCAAUCCCGAAAGCCUUGGGGUGAAACGGUGAGAUUCCGUUACCGACAGUGAAAGUCUGGAUGGGAGAAGAAAUAU
RNAcentral lists this non-coding RNA (125 nucleotides) under Sediminispirochaeta smaragdinae. RNAcentral describes it as "FMN sequence". It matches the Rfam family "FMN riboswitch aptamer (RFN element)". From Rfam's summary of the family: The RFN element is a highly conserved domain that is found frequently in the 5'-untranslated regions of prokaryotic mRNAs that encode for flavin mononucleotide (FMN) biosynthesis and transport proteins. This element is a metabolite-dependent riboswitch that directly binds FMN in the absence of proteins. The record is from RNAcentral. RNAcentral also lists the same sequence under 1 other name. Lineage: Bacteria; Pseudomonadati; Spirochaetota; Spirochaetia; Spirochaetales; Spirochaetaceae.